Molecule: long non-coding RNA, 4638 nt
Filed under: Manihot esculenta (cassava)
Lineage: Eukaryota; Viridiplantae; Streptophyta; Magnoliopsida; Malpighiales; Euphorbiaceae
Description: long non-coding RNA (MESC_LNC004393)
Source: RNAcentral
UUAAAACACAAUUGAAGAUUUUUAGAGUAUAAUUAAUAAAUAAUGAAAUUUUAUUUUGUUAAUUCAAUAAUGACAUAAUUAAUUUAUAUUUAAUUAUUAUACUUUUUAUAAAUUUAUGCAUUUAAUAAUUAUAAUUUAAUUCAUCAAUUUAAUGGAUUAACUUCAAAUACUAUAAGAGUAUAGACAUGUAUUUAACUUUUUUUUUUAUUCAUUGUCCAUCAUCAAUUAGUAAUUUCUUGUGGUAUUUGCAUUUGAAUUAGGUCAUUGCUUGCCAGGGUACUUUAAUCCCAUAUUUAACCUUUGAUUUGAAAAUGUAUCAAUUCGUGUGCUAAGCUUUUCCUUAAAAAGGAGAUUUAGAAAAAAAUUGGGUUUAGGGACGAGUGAAUAAGUUUAAAAUAAGUUUAAUCCCUUUCCUUCCUUAUUUUCUCUUUAUAUCUCUUCUCUUUCAUUUUUUAAUGACGUCUUCUCAUCAUGCAUGACCGUAAAUAAGAAUAUUCUUUUUUUUUAUUGUUAAACAGUUAUUUAAUUCCUUUCUAUACCGGUAUGAGUCAAUGUAUAGGGGUUUGUUCCCUGACUGUCUCAUAGAGUUCUUCUUUGAUGAGUCAGGACUCCGAUCAAUCUGAUCUGCGCAUUAAUAAACCAGUUUCUGUAGUGAAAUCUGAUAGAGUUUAAGCAUAACUCUCCUACAAGAGUUGACCAUGCCCGGUGCCCAGCGUUCAUAAGGAAAUUUGAUUGACUGUUUAAGCAAACAUCUCUAAUAAACUUAGUUGCUAUGCUAUGACUGACUGGAUGAGUUUGUGCUUUUCUAGCUUUGCAUGUAUCUUUUCUUAAUGGAGCCAAAUCUUCCAUUAGAUCCUAGGGUUUUUCUGUAAUGGGCCAAAGAUUCUUUCUUGUGGGUCCACUAUAAUCUUUGCUAGUAACCUUUUUUUAGAUGUAAUCUUGUUAUCCAUAUGAUGCAAAAUACUUAUAUUUCCUUCUUUUUAUACCACAACAUUGCCACAGAAGAUAUUAUCAGCAAACAUGCAGCAUUUUGGCGUAAGAGAUUUUACUAUAACGUUUUAAAAUUUAGGAAUUUUAUGGUAACAAAAAUAAAAAGGGUAAACUACAGUUUAGUCCCUCUAGUUUAAUAAAAUAUUUACUUUAGUUCUUAUGUUUUUAAAAACCUACAGUUUAAUCUUUCACAUUUAAAAAAACUGCAAAAUAGUUCCUACCGUUAAAUUUUCAGUUAACCUUCCAUUUAUUUUAAUGAAAAUGACUAAACUACUCUUUAAAUGAAAAGAUCCAAUCAAACAUUAUUUUUCACUUUCAAAUUAGCCCAUCUCACUACCUCUCUGUAACGACCCCAAAAUGGACCGUCACCGGCGCUAGGAUUCAGGUCGGCUUAAGGCCGCCAUAACCCGUAGCAAACCUGCUAUACUCUCUGUGUACAUGUAAAUCUCAUACAUGAUCAUACAUUUUCUGUGAAAAUAAAAACUCUUUUCUGAACCAAGGCUUAACCUGUGCAUGCACUAUCUCUGUACUCUGUACUCUGUACUCUGUACCCCUGACUAGAGCUUGCUCUAGAUGGGUUAACUCAUACCUGUUAAGCCUGGUAGUUCACAUACGCUGUAAAACAUAUACAUAUACAGAUCAUGUACAUAACAACAGCUUUACAACACAAACAACUAAGUCAAGCACAUCUGUAACUGAAAACAUAACUAUUACAUCUCUUUAACAUUACAUGUCCACUCUACACUAUUACAUUUCUCGUUACUCUUUCUAUGCUCUGCUGACUUGCCCUGUACACUGUACACUGAACCUGCAAAACUGGGGUUAAGGGAGUGGGAUGAGCUCUAUAGCCCAGUGAGUAGAACAGUAAAACAACACAGUCAAACCACAUCAAGAGUAAAUCUGUCACCACAUAGUCCCAGUAACUCUGUGCCAGGGCGUAGAAUCGAGCACCUGGUCUUCCUGUCAUAUAUAUAUAUAUGUGUAUAUAACACCUCUGUACUUACCAUUGCCAGGGCGUAGUCAAAGGCUCCUGGUCUUUACUAUAACUGCCAGGGCAUAGUCAAAGGCUCCUGGUCUUUACUAUACCUGCCAGGGCGUAGUCAAAGGCUCCUGGACUUUCAACUAAUCAUGAAAACGAAUCAAAUCUGUGCAUGAGUUAAUGAAAACAUGGAAGAAAACUCACAAAGGACAGGGUUUCACCUUAGAAGAUAAAAGAAACGGUGCUUGCACCGCUUCAACCGACUGAGGGCCAUUUAUAGGUGGCUAGCCAGACCACCUUCGGCAGCCACACGUGAAACCGAAAGCCAUGCAUGUUCGGCGGCCGAACCUCAACUUCGGCGGCCGAACCUGGCUUUUCUGCCUUGGUUCAUUUCACUCAAAAACUCAUUUCUUAGGCAUAAAACUUAAUAAACAUAUCAAAACAUUUAAGAAAAACAUAAUUCUAACCCUUCUAGAGACUUCCGACAUCCCGGACUCCACCGGAAAGUAGACUUCCGAUACCGGACUCUAACAGAGUAUUACACUCUCCUUCCCGAUUCUCUUCUUCCUUUUCUCCUCAUCAUUCUCCUUCUUUUCUUGAUCCUCUUCUUCCUUCUUCUUCCGUGUUUGAUUUCAUGCAAUUGGGCGAGAUGGUAAUGGUGAUUAUACGAAUAUAGGUAAAUCUGAAGAGCUUCUUCCUUCUCUCCUCAUCCUUCUUCUUCUUCUGUGUUUGAUUUCAUGCAAUUGGGCGAGAUGGUAGUGGUGAUUAUACGAAUAUGGAUAAAUCUGAAGAGUUUCUUCCUUUUCUCCUCAUCCUUUUCUCCUCAUCCUUCUUCUUCUUCUGUAUUUGAUUUCAUGCAAUUAGGCGAGAUGGUAGUGGUGAUUAUACGAAUAUGGAUAAAUCUGAAUAGCUUCUUCCUUCUCUCCUCAUCCUUCUUAUUUUUCUGUGUUUGAUUUCAUGCAAUUGGGCGAGAUGGUAGUGGUGAUUAUACGAAUAUGGAUAAAUCUGAAGAGAGAAGAAGAACAAUGAUGAGAAUAAAAUAGAGCAGAUAAGUGAGUAAGAGCAGCCGCAACUAAGAAGAAGGAGGAUGAGGAGAAGAAGAAGGAGAAGGAGAGGAUUGAGAAGGGGAGAUAGUGGGAUGGAGUGAAUACUGUUUGGUUGAAUUUUUUUACUUAAAGGGUAGUUUAGUUAUUUUCAUUAAAAUAAACGGAAGGUUAAUUGAAAAUUUGACGGUAGAGACUAUUUUGCAGUUUUUUUAAAUGUGAAAAAUUAAAUUAUAGGUUUUUAAAAAUACAGAAACUAAAGUAAAUAUUUCAUUAAACUAGAGGGAUUAAACUGUAGUUUACCCAAAUAAAAAUGAUAACAUGAUGUGAAAUACUCUUCAAACUCGAGGGAUUACCAGUAAAAAUUACUCAAAAACUAAGGCUUCAUUUGUUUCAAGAGAAUUAUUUUUUAUAUUUUUUAAUGUUUGAGACACAUAUGAAAAUUAGUUAGAAUAUUUUUUUAAUAAAAGAAAAAUAUUAAAUCAUAUGUAAAAUGACUUCUUUCUACGUUUUGAAAAUCUUAGUAAGAUCUUUUUAUAUAAAUGUAUUAAUAUAUAUAUUAUUUUUAAGGGUUGGUGUUAAAAAUUCUAAUUUUUGUAUCACUUUACGAUUUAAUUUUUAGUUUUCAAUUUUGGCACAAUAAACUAUUUUUUUUUAAAUUCUUAAAAAAUUUUAUUCUAAUUUCAAACUGAAAUUAGAUAGAGCCUGUUUUCAUCUACCUAGCAAAUCUAAUCCCGUGGGUUAUUUUGCUAUUAUUUAAUCGGGCCGCUUGAUAAAUUUUUAAUUAUGGUAUUUCAUACAAAUUUUUACAAAUCAGUGUAAUUUGAUUUAUUUCAAAGAAAUUGAAUUUCUCAAAGCAACUCCUACAAAUUUUAUAUAUCAUUUCAAGCAAUCUCAACAACAGCUCACAAAUUCUAAAAAAUAAAACACAAAUUACAUAUGUAGAUAUAAAAAAUUGAAUUGCAGAUUACACGAAAAUAUAGAUUUGAACAAAUAAAUCCAAACACAAAAAUUAUAAAUUAUUCACAAAUAACAAAUCCACAUGCGGACAAAGAAUAAACAGCCAGAGGAACACAAAUUAUACAAUUAAAUCUAAAGCCAAACAUCAAACAUAGCCUCACAAUACCGUAAUCAAUAACCAACUAAAGAUUCAAAGUCAUAUGCCCAUAUGGAAUCAAACAAGAUAAAAAUCUACUGUCGAGGCUUUAGAAAACUAAAGCUAGAUAGAUCAAUUCACCUUCAUUGCUGCUGGAUGACCAUCUGCCACCUUGAAAAUUAACUCUAAUGAUAUAGCUUGCAUUCACAUCAUUAGAUGUUGAAGAUUCAACAUCAUCUGCCUUCAUGCGAGAUGUCCAUGUCAACGGAAAUAAGGAAGUGGCAGUGAGCGAAGAUAAAGUGGCAGAAGGUCGACGACAACAACACCAGUCUUUAUACCCAUAUUAUAACUGAGUAUCUAACCAUAUUAUGGCUGAGCAUCAGUGUAGAGAUUGAAGGAGAAGGAAAAGGAGCUCUGAAAAAAAAAACAGAGAAGGGUGUGGAAUGGAAGGUGGAGCCGCGGUUGAAAAACUUUUGAUGUUUAAAGUUGGGAUGUUAAUGAAUUAGGGUUUUAUUUAGUUUGGUUAAAAA